This is a long non-coding RNA of Andrographis paniculata, 444 nucleotides long. RefSeq lists it as uncharacterized. The record is from RefSeq and is a predicted model, not a curated record. The transcript has 3 exons. Lineage: Eukaryota; Viridiplantae; Streptophyta; Magnoliopsida; Lamiales; Acanthaceae.
GCACCGGUGAGAAAAAAGUUGUUGCGGAGGGACUUCUGCUCUGCCCCCCUGCGCCAGGUGACACACUUUCCCUGGUCAAGGUCUUCGUGACAUCCGCCUCAGUCCUGGACACACCCCUUAUUUUGCCGACCAUUGUUGGGGCGACUACCCUUCGCGAUGUCGUUGGUGAAGAUCCUAUUGAGUGGACCUACAAGGACCUCAUGCGCCGUCCCUGAAGCGUAUCUACCGAUUCACCCGUGUUAGUUGUCCCGUUUGUCUUAUGGAAUGUAUGUUGUACCUGUUUUUCGCUGGAUUGUGUUGAGGCUGUGUGAACGAUAUGUGGAAUGGAUGCAUAGACCAUUGGAGUUUUAAUUCGUGUGGUGAACGAUGUGGUUAUCGAUUGAUGGAUAUCCGUACUUGCUUAUUGUUAGGUUUGGUAUUUGAACUGUUAAGCCCGUUUUGCGG